This 885-nucleotide ribosomal RNA is filed under the name uncultured Sphingobacterium sp. Its description in RNAcentral is "bacterial SSU rRNA". It matches the Rfam family "Bacterial small subunit ribosomal RNA", at positions 8 to 893 of the family's 1533-position model. Lineage: Bacteria; Pseudomonadati; Bacteroidota; Sphingobacteriia; Sphingobacteriales; Sphingobacteriaceae. The record is from RNAcentral.
AGGGUUUGAUCCUGGCUCAGGAUGAACGCUAGCGGCAGGCCUAAUACAUGCAAGUCGAACGAGAUUGAGGAGCUUGCUCCUCAUGAAAGUGGCGCACGGGUGCGUAACGCGUAUGCAAUCUACCUUAAUCAGGGGGAUAGCCCGGAGAAAUCCGGAUUAAUACCGCAUAACAUUAUUGAAUGGCAUCAUUUAAUAAUCAAACAUUUAUGGGAUUAAGAUGAGCAUGCGUGACAUUAGUUAGUUGGUGAGGUAACGGCUCACCAAGACUACGAUGUCUAGGGGAUCUGAGAGGAUGACCCCCCACACUGGUACUGAGACACGGACCAGACUCCUACGGGAGGCAGCAGUAAGGAAUAUUGGUCAAUGGGCGCAAGCCUGAACCAGCCAUGCCGCGUGCAGGAAGACGGCCCUACGGGUUGUAAACUGCUUUUAUUCGGGAAUAAACCUCUUUACGUGUAAAGAGCUGAAUGUACCGAAGGAAUAAGGAUCGGCUAACUCCGUGCCAGCAGCCGCGGUAAUACGGAGGAUCCAAGCGUUAUCCGGAUUUAUUGGGUUUAAAGGGUGCGUAGGCGGCUUAUUAAGUCAGGGGUGAAAGACGGUGGCUCAACCAUCGCAGUGCCUUUGAUACUGAUGAGCUUGAAUACACUAGAGGUAGGCGGAAUGUGACAAGUAGCGGUGAAAUGCAUAGAUAUGUCACAGAACACCAAUUGCGAAGGCAGCUUACUAUGGUGUCAUUGACGCUGAGGCACGAAAGCGUGGGGAUCAAACAGGAUUAGAUACCCUGGUAGUCCACGCCCUAAACGAUGAAUACUCGAUGUUAGCGAUAUACAGUUAGCGUCUAAGCGAAAGCGUUAAGUAUUCCACCUGGGGAGUACGCCCGCAAGG